UGUUGUUGAGAGCUGUGAACUGGUCCAGCCAUUUUGGGGAGCAGUCUGGAGUUGUGCCAAGGGAAUUGUCGAGCUGUGUGUGCCUUUUGGCCCAGUGGUGCCAUUUUCAGAUGAGGAAACAAUUUUAUCCUUUCUCCUUGGGAUAAGCAGAAGUAGAGAUAUCUUCCUUGCCAGGCCAUAAUAAGAGGCGAAUGUCAGGAACCCGGAAGGACCAGAGAGAAGUUGGUGUCAGUAAUUGGCUCAUUGCUCCUUGA
Molecule: long non-coding RNA, 254 nt
Filed under: Monodelphis domestica (gray short-tailed opossum)
Lineage: Eukaryota; Metazoa; Chordata; Mammalia; Didelphimorphia; Didelphidae
Description: lncRNA (ENSMODG00000050023.1)
Source: RNAcentral